Molecule: long non-coding RNA, 1841 nt
Organism: Armigeres subalbatus
Lineage: Eukaryota; Metazoa; Arthropoda; Insecta; Diptera; Culicidae
Exons: 4
Source: RefSeq, a predicted model, not a curated record
UCAAAAACAAAGCAAUGAAAAGGAAUUUGGCUUGUUUCUUAUUUUUGUGAUUUUUUUCAGCAGUGAGCACGCGUGUUAGCAAAAAAAAAAGCAACGAGAUUGGUGCUGUAUUUCUUUGCUUUACGAUGAGAUGAAUAUAUGUUCAGUGAGAUGGAAAUCGGAACAGUUCCCCUAACUAAAGGAAUUUUGAAAACCAUACAAACAAUCCAGGCCAACUACCUUGAACACUACAAAAUUUACACAGAUUGCUCAGUUUGAACUUGCAAACGCCUUUCCCAAUAGGUUUGACCUUAGGUGAUGUAAUACUAACAUGUAGGAAUACUAUUACAGAAGAUUGGAACAGCAGAUACAGACUAAUUUUAGAGGAAAAGGGAAUUAAACAUUUUGAAAUCAUGGGCAAGGUAAAUGAAAAACCAUGGUUCUACCAAAUGCCUUUCAAUACAAUUGACACCAUACGACUCUCUAGGGUUAGAUCGUUACACACAGCGACGAAGGAAAGAUUAUUUAACUGGAGCUGAUUGCGUCGUCAUUGUGUGAAUCUUGUAAUACCAUAGAAAAUCUAUCCCACAUCUUAUUCGAAUGCACAAAAUACAAUACAAUUCGUCAUAAGUAUCCGGUAUUAAAUGAUAAAAAUGAUAUAAUUGAAAUAGCAACAAAUUGCCAAUCAUCUGAAAGCAGUUAAGAUAAAUGUUUUAGCCAACUUGAAGUAGAGCUCGUGCUAAAAUAUGGUUAGCAAAAUGGUCAACAUCACGACAACAGCGAAUAAAUACUUACGUUUAAACUCUCGUUUAAACGCGGUUUUCGUUACGUCACUAUGGACGAAAAACUUGACAACACUUGGAUAUAUGGAUCAACUAUGGUCUGAGAGAGAAAAGAAGAGGAAAAAAAGAAGUCGAAGUUGCCCGACGAAUUUGAGCGAAGACAUGAGAAGAACGGCGGUUCAGUGAAGACUUCAAACGACACGGGGGAAUAAAAGUGGUGUUGUGCACGAGCGAAAGUGUUUCCAUUGUGGAAAGCCUUUGUUAUUACUUUGUUUUUAUUUACUCGAUCGUUAACAUUAUGUGUAAAUCCGUUCAGCCAUGUUAGUAAAUAAAGCAUCCUUUCUGUUCGUGAAUGUCGGCUAGUGAGCCGCGAUCACUGGUACCAAAUGAGAACUCUGCAUCAAAACCAACAAAUAAUAUGCCGUAAUACCUAGCAAGUUGGAAAAUUAUACCAUUCCGAUCGAAUCCCCGGAAACAAUCAUCGCAGAUGCAGAACCGAAGGACAACACUGGUCUGGAGAAACAUAAAAUCAACCCAAUAUAUAAAUCCGAUCAUCUGAAACCAAAAAUUGAUUACCGUCAACAACGACUGGCAAGUAGAAAACAAGCCAAAGUGGCUCGAGUGGCUGGUUUUGACUUUCCGCUUACAUGUGAAGAGGAUGUCGAACGGUUGGAGCUCAUGGUCAACCGGAAUCCCAUCAUAAGGAAUCAAUACGUCAAAUAUUUGGCAGCUAAUAAACUCUCUCACGUGGACGUUGCCAGCAUACUGCAUCAGUUUUUCAAUGACGAAUCGUUAGCCAAUUUCAUCACAUCCACGCCAUUUGUACGGGAAAACAGGAAGCCAAUGCAAAAAUUCGCCAUUUUCAGUGCAUGUAUGUUGGAAGCUUGGUCCAGCCAAGGCGUUACGCAAGCCAAUCUGUCCAGUUCUUUGCAAAAAGCGUUGCAAGCGGUGAAACUUCGCCUUCAAAUAGAUUAGCUCAGUUGACUUUGAGGGAAAAGCGAUAUCAAUCCUGAGAAAUGAUAACCUUUCGAUUUGUUAUUUAUCGUCAUUGUCAUAGCUAAUAAAAUAAAAACAACUAAC